RNAcentral lists this unclassified non-coding RNA (195 nucleotides) under plant metagenome. RNAcentral's name for it is "partial contains small subunit ribosomal RNA, internal transcribed spacer 1, and 5.8S ribosomal RNA". The record is from RNAcentral.
UCUCCGUUGGUGAACCAGCGGAGGGAUCAUUACCGAGUUUACAACUCCCAAACCCCUGUGAACAUACCAUUUGUUGCCUCGGCGGUGCCUGCUUCGGCAGCCCGCCAGAGGACCCAAACCCUUGAUUUUAUACAGUAUCUUCUGAGUAAAUGAUUAAAUAAAUCAAAACUUUCUACAACGGAUCUCUUGGUUCUG